UAAGAAAAUUAUAAGUUAAAAUUUUUAUAUAUAGAAAUAUAAAUUAGUAUAUGUAAAUAUGUUUAUUUCUUUUUUUUAAAAAAACUUUUUUUUGACAUAUGUUAACAUCUCAAUGGUAUACCUGACAUGUGUCAUGAUCUCGUGAGUUAGUAACUUUCAAAACCGUACUUUAUAUAAUAAGAUACGGUCUAUAUUAUCAAUUUGAAACGACAUAAUAUAAUUGAGAGGAGAUUAAAGAUUGGCGAGGAAGCAAGAACAUAAUCUGUCACCGCUUCGAUCAAUUCUUAUGUAAGUUUUUUAUGUCCGUUUCUUCUAGGUUUUAAUUUGAUGAAGUCAGAUUUGGAUUUUAGUCGAAGUCGAUUUCUAUUAGGUUGCAAUACUUUUUCCUAAUAAGUAGUUGACUUUGAGUUUAAGCU
RNAcentral lists this small RNA (416 nucleotides) under Arabidopsis thaliana (thale cress). RNAcentral's name for it is "ATSL168690". Lineage: Eukaryota; Viridiplantae; Streptophyta; Magnoliopsida; Brassicales; Brassicaceae. The record is from RNAcentral.